AAGGACGAUGUUUGAUUCUUGGGGUUAGUCGCCCUCUUAACACAACCAUUUUCCAUUCCGUUGUGUUGUUAAAACACCACAUUCGACGAUACCACGCAUCUAUGUGGCAUGCCAUACAAUAUGUAAAUAUGUAUGGAGCGUCGCAACGCAUUUAAGAGCCAUAGCAUACGGAUGGCUCAUCGUAUACAAUAUACAUCCUUCACACGAGAAGAUCUAUAAGUAAAAAAUCAUAACACGUUAAUAUUAUGAUUGUGCAAUGUUAUACGACCUACAUUAGUAUAUUUGUGAACAAUUAACUUCAAAGCAAGAUGCUGCGUUACCGUGAAUUUAGUAGUAUAAAUCUAAAGAACUUAUUUAAGAAUAAAAAAGAGCCUAAUUCUCGCACCUCGACUCUGAGAGUCUCGACUCUGUUGAAGAGCUGACAUUUGACACAAAAAGUAUGCGUGCGAGCGAGACCAACUGACAAUAAAAAUCGAGUUCCCAGGCUCAAGAAUUGGGUUCUAGAUCGAGUUUACAGAAGCUAUUAAAAACGUUACCUUCAGCAAGGACGAAUUUAUGUAACGUAUCUCUCAAUCUUCUGACUCAAUGGACGGUGUUAUGGGCUAUGCAAUUUUCUGCAGCACAAGUCUACUACUGUUUUAGAUAUUAUAACGAUAAGUACCUAAUAUUAUACGGUAUAUCUGCUGGAUUAGAAUCACAUAUUAUAGAGGUUAUGUAACUCAAAGUAUAUUUGUAUAAAACCUAUUUAUAUAGUUGUUGACAUAUAGAGAUCUAUUUCACAACACAAAUUUAUCUGAUACUGCCUUCAAACAUAACCAGUAAAGUGCUUUGAGAGGGCGUGGUUUCCUUGCUUCUGUGAUACAAUAUGUUAUAUCGUAAAGGAGUAUGCAUUUAUUUUAUAUUCUAACGAGCGUGAAGCCUCUAACAGACGACGACAUUGGAGUCUUUCGAUAAAAUAAGGAAAUAUUGUAAGAAGAUUGUAAAUGCUUUCUUACGCCGUCUUUCUCUGACUUGGGAGGGAGUUGUUUGGUGAAGUUUUGUCUUUUUCUGUUAUUACAUAUAAGAACGAGACAACUAUAUCGAGAGACUUUUGUGAUUCAUAUUCUUUUCUUAUUAGAACAUUAUGAAAAAAAGAGCAAAAUUGCGCUAAAAAUAAUAAUUAUUUUAUAUAGUCAUGUUGUCUGUUUUAGGCCUGCAAAUCAUAAACUUAAUACUGAAAGAUUUAUUAAUAACCACAAUAAUGUAAUACUUACAAAUAAAUGUAAUUUAAUCGAAGUCACAAAUUAAUUUUUGGUCUCAAAAUCUGUUUUCAAUAUUUACAAUUUUUUAUCUCUUUUUAAAUUUGUGUAUUAAUAAUUUUAAUUAUUAAGACUUGUGAAUGUAUUGCUUUUUACUCUACACAUAGUGACGUUUUAAAAGUAUAUAGCUAGUCAAAUCCCGGGUUCUUAGAAAUGCACAAAGAUGUGUUUUUAAAUUGGGUCUUGUAAGACUAAAGGACUAAAUAAGGCAUAUCUUGUAUGGUAGCUUCGAUACUUAUAUUCUUCUGUAUUGACUUUUGACCGGAUCAAUCGCAGUAUCAGGCAUUUUUGCAAUAGCAUCACGUUGUUACUAUUAAAUAUUGUAGUAAACUAUUAAGCCUGCAUAAGACUCAUCGUAUUAAUGUUCUCAGCGUGAAUAGAUAAUGCAACAUAUAGAAACGAUAACGAAUUUAGACAAAGAAAAAAUUAAACUUACUACGUUCUCACGCUCGUGUCCUUGCGCUAUCGUCUAUCGAUUUUUAACUUCGAUAUCGUUUCGAUAUUGUGCAUCGUCUAAGCACGCUCUGUCGUAGUCGAAAUUGAAGUAUGUUACCGACUUUGUAUUGUGCCAUAUUGACGCAUUAGCUAGCUGUAGUCCUAAGUCUUACGUCGCGUACUUUCGAACACGGAUUUUUCGAAUUUCUCGUAUUAUUUUUAUUGAAUUACCGCUUAUUUUGUAUUAUAGGUCUGAACGAUUGUAAUUAUAGAUAGGAGCCCCCGAGCUCUAGAUUAACGUUCGGGCGAUAGUCUCCUUGCAAGUUCUGAGCUGGCUUUCGGCAGCGAAGUAGGUAUAGUUUACUGCUAGUACCACAUUAUGUAAAGUUAUAUAGUGCUUAUAAAUAAUGCAAUAUCUCACGUGGAAUACAUUGUAUAUAAUAUUGCUUAUUUUUUGUUACUCGGACGGUUGAUGUCUCAUGUCUAGCGCCUGCGUUGUUCUGAAGGCUAUCGAGUUACUGAAAAAUAAAUAUCAAAAUUAUCCGUUGGAUUAAUGCGAAUACCAA
Aricia agestis (brown argus) is the source of this 2299-nucleotide long non-coding RNA. RefSeq lists it as uncharacterized. Lineage: Eukaryota; Metazoa; Arthropoda; Insecta; Lepidoptera; Lycaenidae. The record is from RefSeq and is a predicted model, not a curated record. The transcript has 2 exons.